This is a long non-coding RNA of Onychostruthus taczanowskii (white-rumped snowfinch), 3108 nucleotides long. RefSeq lists it as uncharacterized. Lineage: Eukaryota; Metazoa; Chordata; Aves; Passeriformes; Passeridae. The record is from RefSeq and is a predicted model, not a curated record. The transcript is spliced from 3 exons.
CGGUGAGCCCCGGGAUCGGCUGAGCCCCCUCCGUGAGGGGAGCGCUCGGGUGAGCCCCGGGAUCGGUUGAGCCCCCUCCGUGAGGGGAGCGCUCGGGUGAGCCCCGGGACCGGCUGAGCCCCGGCCGUGAGGGGAGCGCUGCGGUGCUGGAUCAGGGCCUUAUUAAAAGUGAGCAGGUGUCUUCAGCUGCUACUUCUGCUGCCCUGUCGUUGUGGUUUUAUCUACUGCCACUCUUCGACUAUCUCAAGUAACCAAGCAUCACAGCGCUGGUGACAGCUGAUCAGGAAUUAGAGGGCUUCUUUCCAAUGGCUUCACAGGAUACAGAAGAACUGUAGGUAAAGGAUACAGUUUAACAUCAGACAGCUCCAUGUCCGCUGGGCAGGAAAAGCAAUGGCCCUCAGGGAGAGACACAGUCCGUGCCCACAGGAAAAGCAAUGUCCCUCAGGGAGAGAGCUUCUUUCACCAAAAACUUUUGUCAAGCUCCCUCAAAGGAAGACAAUGCCCUCCACAAGGGGAGAAGAGCAAUCAAAGUUUGGUAUUGCUUGUUAAAUGGCACUUUCAGUCCUCUGAACAAUGAUGGUAAAGUCUUCUGUGCAGCUUAAGGAGCAAAGAAUACCAAAUGCUGGUUCAACGCUGCUUGUAUGAAGUCUACUUGUAAACAAAAAAGAUCAAAGCUCACAGACUAAUCCACAAGGGAACCGAACUCUUUGCCAGCAUCCCUGUGUGAUGUACUGCUUUACUUAUGCCUAGCUUAUCCUGUCAUAACAUUUACCUAUGCUAAUGUGCAGAGAUCCUUAGGUAGCUGACUCCAGACCUUAUCCUGUGAUUCAUCACCUAUAAUGCACCAGUAACAUACAAAAUCAGAGUUCACCUUGCCUUGACCUGAGGGCGGGACUUAAAUUAGCAACACAGCAGCAGCACUGUCCUUUUGCCACCGAAGGGCUGCAAGUACCUCACAAGUAGGUACAAGGAGUCAAAUGUUGGUACCACCAGCCUUCCUCCCCGGAAACACCCUCAGAGAAUCCAGAGAUCACAGCUUGGAGCACAGAGCUGGUGAGCAGUGCAGAGCAGUGGGGACUGCUCCUUCCUGACAUCUGCAUUGGGGCUCCAUUUUCCACCAUCAAAUCAUGCUCCUGUGUUUAGACCUUGCAGAAAUUAAUUGAUUACUGAAUCCCAGUUCAGGAAAAAGGCAGCAAGUGGAUAAGAGAAUUUGGUGAGUUUUUUUUUUCAAUUCUUAUUAAAAUAUUAAUGUCCGUAUUUAUAUAAUAUUUUAAAAUGUUUUGUAUUAAUGUGAUGCACUGAAUAUGCCAAAGAUGAAAAAGUUGUCCAUAGAUCAAAUGUCUCAUGGCUAAAAACAUCUUUCUGAUGACAAACCUAAGUUGACAACUCUGUUAAUAGGAUUAGGUUCAUUAAGGGUCUACUUUCUCUUAUAAAUCUGGCCCAGAUAGCAUGGAGCUUUAGAUCUUAUGUGGCAAAGGGGGGCCCUGCUUAGUCCUGAAUUCCAUGUUUUUACUUAAAAUGCUUGCUAGUGAUUGAUAUUGGUAAUAUUCAGUGUUUCUAGACUAUACUAGGCUACCUGAAAUUACUUUCAAUUUUCAAAAUAUUUAAUGCAUUAUCACAAGCCUGAGAGCAUUUUUUGCCAGAAUGUUGUAUUACAGCACUGAUUUUUUUUUCAGGGACACAUUAGCAUGCAUGUAGUAGUUUCAUUCUCUUCCUGCUAUAACACGUUUUCAUAAGGGCUGAUGAAAACCAAGAAAUGCUGUAUAGAGAGAAACAAAUGCAGGAAAACGUAUCCUGCAAUACUGUUUUCUGGCUUAGAGCUACUCUCCUACCUUGGAGACAAAUCUUCUAUUGUUAUUACUGAAAUAUGGCCCCAGAGAGCCCAAGAUCCUACUGGACAUGGGUCAGAUCACCACUGCAUACUUGUGUGUCUAUGAGGUGCUCAGCCAAGGGAGACUGGUGACCUGGACACCAUCUCCAGCUGUAAAAACCAUUGCAAGUGGGAGAAUUUGAAAACCAGAGAUACCCAGCUCCACUGAUGUUUAGUUGAGACCUGGACAUUCAAGUAUCCUGGAGCUUUCCAAAGCAGCCCCUCUUGGGGCUGAAAGCUGUGGCAAGACACUGGGUAAAUGCUGUUCAGGAGCUGUCUCAGCCUAUGCCUCCAAAAGGAAAGCAAAGCCUAAUGAUAUUUUACUCCUCAGCUGCUAAUUUAAAUGCUGGUGUUUAGAGACUUAGGCCUCCAAUCCAAUAAAUCACUUAAAAUCUUGGACUUAAUUUUUUUGCAUAAUUAAUCUUUCUGUAAUUAAACUCACCCUCAGGGUAUGUUGUCCAGCUAGAGCACCAGAGGAACCAGGCUCUUAGGGGUGGAAUGCAUCUUACCUGAGUUCAGAUGCUGCCUGGCUUCCCUCUGGAAGAGACACAGCCACUGGGAGGUGACCCAGCUCCACCUUGAAUGCUUAUUUAAAAGUUUGGCUAGAUGAGGCCACAGGUGCUGGUCUCUUUCUGUUGAUGAUAAGUCCCUAAAUGACUUGCUUGGAUUAAGCACUACAUGUUUUAGCAGCUAAAUUUAUAGGAGAUAGAUUCUUUACCUUCCUCCAUUUUAAUUAAUCAAAAAAACAUGGGAAAGUACUGAUCAGAAAAUGAGUGGUAAUGACUCGUAGCUGACAGGUCACUAAUACAAAUAAACUCUCAAAUUGCUAAGAACCACAUAUCCUUGAGGGGUAUAAAUGAAAUAUGCCAACAUCUUCCCAGUAGUGACAGGUCAGAGGAAAUGUGUGAUCCAAACCCCUGGGAAGAGUACUCUGUCCUGUAUUACCUCUCUGCUGCCCAUGGCAGAAGCCUACAAAAUACCACAAUCAUUUAAAAAAUUAUUUGAAAUAAGUUGCUUGAAGCUUGUGCUUUCAAUAUUUUGGUUUUCCUGGAAAUAUUUGACAGUGCCAAGUUCACUAAAGAAAAAGGAAUGGACAGUUUAAAAUUGGUUGAAAUUUGGCCUCUGGGCUAGAUGAGCUCAUGAGCUACAGGCUUACCUUGGGCAGUCUGUACUUUUCUCUCAGGUGAACCCUCAGAACAGCUCGCUCUGCUUUUUUCUGUGCAAAUGCUGCAUCUCUU